RNAcentral lists this ribosomal RNA (628 nucleotides) under uncultured bacterium. Its description in RNAcentral is "bacterial SSU rRNA". The stretch from base 1 to 527 matches the Rfam family "Bacterial small subunit ribosomal RNA", at positions 338 to 873 of the family's 1533-position model. The record is from RNAcentral.
CCUACGGGAGGCAGCAGUGAGGAAUUUUCCGCAAUGGGCUAACGCCUGACGGAGCAAUGCCGCGUGGAGGAGGAAGGCCUGUGGGUCGUAAACUCCUUUUCUCAGAGAAGAAGAUCUGACGGUAUCUGAGGAAUAAGCAUCGGCUAACUCUGUGCCAGCAGCCGCGGUAAUACAGGGGAUGCAAGCGUUAUCCGGAAUUAUUGGGCGUAAAGCGUCCUGAGGUGGCUUACCCAGUCGACUGUGAAAGCUCAAGGCUCAACCUUGAAACGGCAGUCGAAACUUGUAAGCUUGAGUACGGUAGAGGCAGAGGGAAUUCCCGGAGGAGAGGUGAAAUUCGUAGAUAUCGGGAGGAAGGCCAAAGGCGAAAGCACUCUGCUGGGCCGAUUACUGACACUGACAGACGAAAGCUAGGGGAGCGAAAGGGAUUAGAUACCCCUGUAGUCCUAGCCGUAAACGAUGGAUACUAAGUGUUGCGCGACUCAACUCGUGCAGUGCUGCAGCUAACGACGGUAAGGUAACGUCCCGCCGUCGGGGAGGUAGUGCGUCGCGAAGAGUAGAAACGUUAAAAGGUAAAGUUAGACGGCGUGAGACGUGCCGAACGGACGACGACGAACGGGGAAGGUUAGGG